RNAcentral lists this transfer RNA (85 nucleotides) under Thermoflexales bacterium. RNAcentral describes it as "tRNA-Leu". It matches the Rfam family "tRNA". Rfam says of the family: Transfer RNA (tRNA) molecules are approximately 80 nucleotides in length. Their secondary structure includes four short double-helical elements and three loops (D, anti-codon, and T loops). Lineage: Bacteria; Bacillati; Chloroflexota; Thermoflexia; Thermoflexales. The record is from RNAcentral.
GGGGGAGUGUCGGAAUUGGCAGACGAGGCAGACUUAGGAUCUGUUGGAGGUUCACUCCGUGGGGGUUCAAGUCCCCCCUUCCCCA